AUGCAGGUGAAGCAGAAGGUCUACGAGCUCUACAAGGGGACGGUGGAGCGGGUCACGGGCCCGCGCACCGUCUCGGCGUUCCUCGAGAAGGGCGUCCUCUCCGUCCCCGAGUUCAUCCUCGCCGGCGACAACCUCGUGUCCAAGUGCCCCACCUGGUCCUGGGAGGCGGGCGAUCCGAGCAAGAGGAAGCCGUACCUCCCCUCCGAUAAGCAGUUCCUCGUCACCAGGAACGUGCCCUGCCUAAGACGAGCUGUGGCGGUCGAGGAAGAGUAUGAUGCAGCGGGAGCUGAGGUUGUUCUCGAUGAUGAUGAGGAUGGCGAAGGCUGGCUCGCAACACAUGGGCUGCAAGCAUCAGAGUCAAAAGAGGAGGAGGACAUACCAUCUAUGGAUACAUUGGACAUAGGGAAAGUCGAAGAGAUCAAAUCUAUUCCCUCGUACUUUGGUGCUGGUGAAAAGCCAGAUGACGAGGAGGAUAUACCUGAUAUGGACACCUAUGAAGACACAGGAGAUCAUUCCACAGCUACCCCUCAGCCUUCAUAUUUUGUCGCGGAACAGCCGGAUGAUGACAACAUUCUUCUGACCAGAACAUAUGAUGUCAGCAUCACAUAUGACAAGUACUACCAAACUCCACGUGUCUGGCUUACUGGCUAUGAUGAGGCAAGAAUGCCAUUAAAGCCUGAACUUGUGUUUCAAGAUAUCAGUCAAGACCAUGCACACAAAACGGUGACUAUCGAAGACCACCCUCACCUGUUAGUGGGACAGCACGCUUCAGUGCAUCCUUGCAAGCACGCUGCUGUGAUGAAAAAGAUCAUUGAUGUUAUAGUGUCUCAAGGAGGUGCACCAGAAGUUGACAAGUACCUUUUCAUAUUUCUCAAAUUCAUGGCUUCUGUCAUACCCACCAUUGAGUAUGAUUACACUAUGGACUUCGAUCUGGGCAGUACAAGCACAUAA
This 951-nucleotide ribosomal RNA is filed under the name Triticum aestivum (bread wheat). RNAcentral's name for it is "partial small subunit ribosomal RNA". The record is from RNAcentral. Lineage: Eukaryota; Viridiplantae; Streptophyta; Magnoliopsida; Poales; Poaceae.